GGCUCUGUGGUGCAAUGGAUAGCGUGUUGAACUUCUAAAUGGAUUGAGGAGGUUAUUCAAAGGUUGAGGGUUCGAGUCCCACCAGAGUCA
This 90-nucleotide transfer RNA is filed under the name Xiphophorus maculatus (southern platyfish). It matches the Rfam family "tRNA". From Rfam's summary of the family: Transfer RNA (tRNA) molecules are approximately 80 nucleotides in length. Their secondary structure includes four short double-helical elements and three loops (D, anti-codon, and T loops). Lineage: Eukaryota; Metazoa; Chordata; Actinopteri; Cyprinodontiformes; Poeciliidae. The record is from Rfam by way of RNAcentral.